UACGUAGGGUGCAAGCGUUGUCCGGAAUUAUUGGGCGUAAAGAGCUCGUAGGCGGUUUGUCGCGUCGAAUGUGAAAACCCGGGGCUCAACCCCGGGCCUGCAUUCGAUACGGGCAGACUAGAGUUCGGUAGGGGAGUCUGGAAUUCCUGGUGUAGCGGUGAAAUGCGCAGAUAUCAGGAGGAACACCAGUGGCGAAGGCGGCUCACUGGCCCGGUACUGACGCUGAUGUGCGAAAGCGUGGGGAGCAAACAGG
Molecule: ribosomal RNA, 253 nt
Filed under: uncultured bacterium
Lineage: Bacteria
Description: partial 16S ribosomal RNA
Rfam family: Bacterial small subunit ribosomal RNA
Source: RNAcentral